AACACAUUCGGGUUCUAUACAUGCAGUCGAACGAACUCUGGUAUUGAUUGGUGCUUGCAUCAUGAUUUACAUUUGAGUGAGUGGCGAACUGGUGAGUAACACGUGGGAAACCUGCCCAGAAGCGGGGGAUAACACCUGGAAACAGAUGCUAAUACCGCAUAACAACUUGGACCGCAUGGUCCGAGUUUGAAAGAUGGCUUCGGCUAUCACUUUUGGAUGGUCCCGCGGCGUAUUAUCUAGAUGGUGGGGUAACGGCUCACCAUGGCAAUGAUACGUAGCCGACCUGAGAGGGUAAUCGGCCACAUUGGGACUGAGACACGGCCCAAACUCCUACGGGAGGCAGCAGUAGGGAAUCUUCCACAAUGGACGAAAGUCUGAUGGAGCAACGCCGCGUGAGUGAAGAAGGGUUUCGGCUCGUAAAACUCUGUUGUUAAAGAAUAACUUAUCUGAGAGUAACUGUUCAGGUAUAGACGGUAUUUAACCAGAACGCCACUGCUAACUACUUGACAGCAGCCGCG
Molecule: ribosomal RNA, 518 nt
Filed under: Lactiplantibacillus plantarum
Lineage: Bacteria; Bacillati; Bacillota; Bacilli; Lactobacillales; Lactobacillaceae
Description: bacterial SSU rRNA
Rfam family: Bacterial small subunit ribosomal RNA
Source: RNAcentral